GGGAAGCAAGCCAUCGUGUGGCAGAGGCCCAGGUGGCAAGGAACCAAGGGCGGCUUCUGGCCAACAGCCAGCGAGGACCUGAGACCGUAGCCCAACACCCCUCCAGGAACUGAAUUUUGCCAGCAACCAGUGAGUGACCUUGGAAGUGGAUCCUUCCCCCGAAAGCCCGGCUUUCAGACGGAGGCUGGUGGGACCUCAACCCCAGCUGGUAUCCAGGCUCUUGACACCAUCUGGAGAAGGAAUUCAAGAGUGUGUCAGAAAAUGAUGAAAGUACAAAGAUUUAUUGCAAAGCGAAAAAUACACACUCAAGAAAGGGGAGUAUGGGUGGACUCAAGACAGAGUCCGAUGGGACUUGGGGUUUCUACCUUUUGGGUUUCUUUUUUUUUUUUUUUUGAUAUGGAGUCUCGCACUGUUGCCCAGGCUGGAGCGCAGUGGCGUGAUUUUGGCUCACUGCAACCUCUGCCUCCCGGGUUAAAACGAUUCUCCUGCCUCAGCGUCCCAAGUAGCUGGGAUUACAGGCUCCCACCACCAUGCCCGGCUAAUUUUUGUAUUUUUAGUAGAGACGAGGCCUCACCAUAUUGGCCAGGCUGUUCUCGAACUCCGGACCUUAGGUGAUCUGCCUGCCUCAGCCUCCCAAAGUGCUGGGAUUACAGGCGUGAGCCACCAUGCCCAAUGGGUGUGGGAUUUAGUAUAUUAAUGAGUGUAUAAUGAGGUCCUUGGUGAAACCUACAUCAAAUCCAGCACCGUGUUGGGUCCAGUCUGUCUUAGCCAGCUUGGUCCACACCCUGGUUUUUUAGGGUCUUAUUGGCCCCUUACUUCUGCAGCAAAAGUUUCCUUUUGCUAGUCAUGUGAAACUGCCACCUGGAAUUUUCUAUUCUCUAGUGACCACCCUGUAUUAUUCCUGUCUCACUGGGACCCUAAGAAAUUGGGAAUUCCAACUACACAUCCAAAAUAGUUUGACUAAAACUGUUGAAAAAAGAAAAAAAUAAUGGCAUAAAGUAUUGCUUGACUAAAUUCCAGCCAGGUGCAUUGGCCACUUUAGGUCGGGUGUGGUGGCUCAUGCUUGUAAUCCCAGCAUUUUGGGAGGCUGAGGCGGGAGGAUCACUUGAGGUCAGGAGUUCCAAACCAGUCUGGCCAAAAUGGUAAAACCCCCUCUCUACUAAAAAUACAAAAAUUAGCCGGACCUGGUGGCGGAAGCCUGUAAUCCCAGCUACUCUGGAGGCUGAGGCACGAAAAUUGCUUGAACCCAGGAGGUGGAGGUUGCAUUGAACCAAGAUCAUACCACUGCACUCUAGCCUGUGUGACAGAGAAAGAUUCCGUCUCAAGAAACAAAAACAAAAAUGAAAAACAAACAAAAAGAAAGCCCAUUCUAUCUUUUUUAUUUUUUAUUUUUUUGAGACAGGGUCUCGCUCUGUCACUCAGGCUGGAGUGCCACAGCGCGAUCUCUGCUCACUACAACCUCCAUCUCCCAGGCUCAAGCACUCCUCCCACCUCAGCCUCCUGAGUAGCUGGGACCACAGGCACAGAAACCCCACUGUAAAUAAAGAGAGGUAGGCUUUUAAAAAUGUCACUCUGUUCACAGUAAGGCAAGCAAGGGAAGCAAAAUCAAUUUCUUUCUAGAGGUGGGAUAAUGGGUAGGGAGUGGAAGACUUUAGGAAAGAGGUGCCCCAGUUUCUGAGUCACUUCAUGGCUUCAAUAUUCAUUGACUAUCAAUCAACAGAUGAAUGGAUAUACAAAAGGUGGUAUCUCUGUUGCAGCAGGUAGUUAGUCAGAGCUGAGCAGGGAAGGAGAGGCUCCUCCGCCCCAUCAGGAGAUGAUCAGGCAGUUGUUAAACUGUCUCUCUCAAAUAAUCAUUGGUUGCAGCCGAUGCCAGGGAAAGACAGUCUCCCAGUAGAUAGAAACGCCAGAAACUGGUGAUCAGCAGCUUCCCAGUAAGAUCUCAGGAGGUGGGUGAGUGGGCUUAAGCAUGUGCAUGAAGAGGCAAAAUGGUUGAGCUUAGCUGGUACAUGACCUUCCUCUAGGAACACUCAACUGAUAAGGGAAGAACACCUCAAGUGAGCACACAUAUAGCUUCAGUAAACACACUCACAUGCAGCCCCUCCCAAGUGCUGGCAGGCCAUUGUACAUGCAGACUGCCAACAUAUAAAACCACAAGUCAAAGGUCAAACCAUGCACUUGAAUCUCUCAAGGUCCCUACUGGCCCUCUUCCACGUGUACUUUAUUUCCUUGCAUUCCUGUUCUAAAAC
This 2246-nucleotide long non-coding RNA is filed under the name Homo sapiens (human). Its description in RNAcentral is "non-protein coding lnc-TAOK3-1:5". Lineage: Eukaryota; Metazoa; Chordata; Mammalia; Primates; Hominidae. The record is from RNAcentral.